GAGUUUGAUCCUGGCUCAGGAUGAACGCUAGCGGCAGGCCUAACACAUGCAAGUCGAACGGUAACAGGAAUUAGCUUGCUAAUUUGCUGACGAGUGGCGCACGGGUGCGUAACGCGUAUACAAUCUACCUUUUACAGUGGGAUAGCCUUUAGAAAUGAAGAUUAAUACCGCAUAGUAUGUUUGAGUGGCAUCAUUUAGACAUUAAAGAUUUAUCGGUAAAAGAUGAGUAUGCGUUCUAUUAGCUAGAUGGUAAGGUAACGGCUUACCAUGGCAACGAUAGAUAGGGGCCCUGAGAGGGGGAUCCCCCACACUGGUACUGAGACACGGACCAGACUCCUACGGGAGGCAGCAGUGAGGAAUAUUGGACAAUGGGCGCAAGCCUGACCCAGCCAUGCCGCGUGCAGGAAGACGGCCCUAUGGGUUGUAAACUGCUUUUAUACAGGAAGACACACUGCUACGUGUAGCAGCUUGACGGUACUGUAAGAAUAAGGACCGGCUAACUCCGUGCCAGCAGCCGCGGUAAUACGGAGGGUCCGAGCGUUAUCCGGAAUCAUUGGGUUUAAAGGGUCCGUAGGUGGAUAAUUAAGUCAGAGGUGAAAUCCUGCAGCUCAACUGUAGAAUUGCCUUUGAAACUGGUUAUCUUGAGUUAUUAUGAAGUAGUUAGAAUAUGUAGUGUAGCGGUGAAAUGCAUAGAUAUUACAUAGAAUACCCAUUGCGAAGGCAGAUUACUAAUAAUAUACUGACACUGAUGG
Molecule: ribosomal RNA, 752 nt
Filed under: uncultured bacterium
Lineage: Bacteria
Description: bacterial SSU rRNA
Rfam family: Bacterial small subunit ribosomal RNA
Source: RNAcentral